AGAAGAAAAGUUCUUCUUAAAUGUGUGUAAGGAAGAGAAAAAAGUUUUCUCUUAUGCAUGAAAGAAUUGAGAAGAAAAGGUUCUUCUCUUGAUCUCUAUCAUAGAGAUCUAAUGCGUGGAUCCAGAAAGAAAAAGACAGGGUCUCUUUGUUCUUCAUCUUCUUCAUAUUCCUCUUAGAUCAGUCAACAAAAGAUAUAUUUGCGAGCUAGCACUUUCAGGG
Molecule: long non-coding RNA, 220 nt
Filed under: Elaeis guineensis (African oil palm)
Lineage: Eukaryota; Viridiplantae; Streptophyta; Magnoliopsida; Arecales; Arecaceae
Description: long non-coding RNA (EGUI_LNC073378)
Source: RNAcentral